RNAcentral lists this ribosomal RNA (204 nucleotides) under uncultured ammonia-oxidizing archaeon. RNAcentral's name for it is "partial 16S ribosomal RNA". It matches the Rfam family "Archaeal small subunit ribosomal RNA", at positions 471 to 675 of the family's 1478-position model. The record is from RNAcentral.
UAAUACCAGCACCCCGAGUGGUCGGGACGAUUAUUGGGCCUAAAGCAUCCGUAGCCGGUUUUACAAGUCCUCCGUUAAAUCCAACUGCUUAACAGAUGGGCCGCGGAGGAUACUAUAAGACUAGGAGGCAGGAGAGGCAAGCGGUACUCAGUGGGUAGGGGUAAAAUCCGUUGAUCCAUUGAAGACCACCAGUGGCGAAGGCGG